This is a small nuclear RNA of Rhineura floridana, 104 nucleotides long. The record is from RefSeq and is a predicted model, not a curated record. NCBI's taxonomy places the organism in Eukaryota, Metazoa, Chordata, Lepidosauria, Squamata, Rhineuridae.
GCAGUCCUUCCCUGCUCCAGCAACUACUGUUGCAAUGAUAGAGAAGAUUAGCAUGGCCCCUGCGCAAGGAUGACAUGCACAUUUCCAAAGUGUUCCAUAUUUUU